This 461-nucleotide ribosomal RNA is filed under the name Acanthamoeba genotype T4. RNAcentral's name for it is "SSU rRNA". It matches the Rfam family "Eukaryotic small subunit ribosomal RNA", at positions 740 to 1095 of the family's 1831-position model. The record is from RNAcentral. Lineage: Eukaryota; Discosea; Longamoebia; Acanthamoebidae.
GGCCCAGAUCGUUUACCGUGAAAAAAUUAGAGUGUUCAAAGCAGGCAGAUCCAAUUUUCUGCCACCGAAUACAUUAGCAUGGGAUAAUGGAAUAGGACCCUGUCCUCCUAUUUUCAGUUGGUUUUGGCAGCGCGAGGACUAGGGUAAUGAUUAAUAGGGAUAGUUGGGGGCAUUAAUAUUUAAUUGUCAGAGGUGAAAUUCUUGGAUUUAUGAAAGAUUAACUUAUGCGAAAGCAUCUGCCAAGGAUGUUUUCAUUAAUCAAGAACGAAAGUUAGGGGAUCGAAGACGAUCAGAUACCGUCGUAGUCUUAACCAUAAACGAUGCCGACCAGCGAUUAGGAGACGUUGAAUACAAAACACCACCAUCGGUGCGGUCGUCCUUGGCGUCGGUCUUUCGGGGCCGGCGCGGGGACGGCUUAGCCCGGUGGCACCGGUGAAUGACUCCCCUAGCAGCUUGUGAGA